This 305-nucleotide ribosomal RNA is filed under the name uncultured bacterium. RNAcentral's name for it is "bacterial SSU rRNA". It matches the Rfam family "Bacterial small subunit ribosomal RNA", at positions 337 to 634 of the family's 1533-position model. The record is from RNAcentral.
GCCUACGGGGGGCAGCAGUAGGGAAUCUUCCACACUGGGCGAAAGCCUGAUGGAGCAACGCCGCGUGGGUGAAGAAGGUCUUCGGAUCGUAAAACCCUGUUGUUAGAGAAGAAAGUGCGUGAGAGUAACUGUUCACGUUUCGACGGUAUCUAACCAGAAAGCCACGGCUAACUACGUGCCAGCAGCCGCGGUAAUACGUAGGUGGCAAGCGUUAUCCGGAUUUAUUGGGCGUAAAGGGAACGCAGGCGGCCUUUUAAGUCUGAUGUGAAAGCCUUCGGCUUAACCGGAGUAGUGCAUUGGAAACU